RNAcentral lists this transfer RNA (71 nucleotides) under Planctomycetales bacterium. Its description in RNAcentral is "tRNA-Gln". It matches the Rfam family "tRNA". From Rfam's summary of the family: Transfer RNA (tRNA) molecules are approximately 80 nucleotides in length. Their secondary structure includes four short double-helical elements and three loops (D, anti-codon, and T loops). Lineage: Bacteria; Pseudomonadati; Planctomycetota; Planctomycetia; Planctomycetales. RNAcentral also lists the same sequence under 1 other name. The record is from RNAcentral.
UGCCCGGUGGUGUAAUGGUAACACUACGGAUUUUGGUUCCGUCAUUCUAGGUUCGAAUCCUAGCCGGGUAG